Molecule: long non-coding RNA, 5576 nt
Filed under: Homo sapiens (human)
Lineage: Eukaryota; Metazoa; Chordata; Mammalia; Primates; Hominidae
Description: HSALNT0271586
Source: RNAcentral
UCUCUCAAAACUAUUGACUCAUAACUGUAGCCAUAGCAGCUGAGGAACAAUCCAUAUCCAUAAAAUAUAUGCAUGAUGUUAUGCUUUUUGGUACUCACAAAACUAGGGACUAGACAUUAAAUCUCUUUCACAUCUGUCACAGUUAAAUAAAACCACAUAAAGAAGUAGUGGAAGUGGGGAAGGGAGAAGGAAGAGACUUUGGUCAAAGGAUACCCAAUUUCAGUUAGAUAAAAGGAUAUAAGUUCAAGAGUUCUCUUAUAUAACAUAGUAUGUGUAGUUAAUAGCAAACACCAUAUUCUUACAAAUUGCUAAGAAAAUAGAUUUUAAGUGCUCUCACUACAAAAAAAUCGUAAGUAUGUCAGGUUAUGUAUGUUAAUUAGCUCAAUUCACCAAUUUUGCAGUAUAUCUAUAUAUAUAUAUAAAACAACAUGUUUUCAAUUUUUUUAUUUGUUGAACUUAUAGAAAACAACAGCAGCCCAAUGGAAGACCAGUCUGACUGUUAAAAGAAAAACAAACAAAUAGAAAACAGCAACAACAACAAAAAGGACCCCACAAAAACCCCAUUCAGAGGUCAGCAACCUCAAAGAAUGAAGGCAGAUAAGCCCACAAAGAUGAGAAAGGAUCAAUGCAACAAUGCAGAAAACUCAUAAGGCAAUGAUGCAGAAAACUCAAAAAGCAGCAAUGUAGAAAACUCGAAGAGCUCCCCCAAAUGACUGCAACACCUCUCCAGCAAGGGCAUAAAACCAAGCUGAGGCUGAAAUGGCUGAAUUGACAAAAGUAGGCUCCAUAAUAUGAGUAAUAAUGAACUUUGCUGAGCUAAAGGAACAUGUUGUAACCCAAUGAAAAGAAGCUAAAAAUCAUGAUAAACAAUAGGGGAACUGAUAGCCAAAAUAGCCAGUUUAGAGAGAAACCCAGCUGAGCUAUUAGAGCUGAAAAAACACAACAAAAGAACUUCACAAUGCAAUCACAAGUAUCAAUAGCAGAAUAAACCAAGUGGAAGAAAGAAACUGAGUUUGAAGACUAUCUUUCUGAAAUAAGACUGGCAGACAAAAAUAGAGAAAAAAGAAUGAAAAGGAAUGAACAAAACUUCCAAGAAAUAUGGGACUAUGUAAAGAGACCAAACCUACGACUGAUUGGGGUACCUGAAAGAGAUGGGGAGAAUGGAACCAAUUGGAAAAUAUACUUCAGGAUACCAUCCAGGAGAACUUCCCCAACCUAGCAAGACUGGCCAACAUUCAAAUUCAGAAACUGCUGAGAACCCCCAGUAAGAUACUCCACAAAAACAUCAACCCCAAGACACACAAUUAUUAGAUUCUCCAAAGUCAAAAUGACAGAAAAAACAAAAACAAAAAAAACAUUAAGGGCAGCCAGAGAGAAAGACCAGGUCACCUACAAAGGGAAGCCCAUCAGACUCACAGCAGACCUCUCAGCAGAAACCCUGCAAGCCAGAAAAGAUUGGGGGCCAAUAUUCGACAUUCUUAAAGAAAAGAAUUUCCAAUCCAGAAUUUCAUAUCCAGCCAAACCGAGCUUCAUAAGCAAGAGAGAAAUAAUAUCCUUUUCAGACAAGCAAAUCCUGAGGGAAUUCAUCACCACCAGGCCUGCCUUGCAAGAGCUCUGAAGGAAGGACUAAAUAUGGAAAGGAUAAACCAUUACGAGCCACUAAAAAAGCACACUGAAGUACACAGAUCAGUGAAACUAUGAAGCAUCCAUAUAACCAGCUAGCAUCAUGAUGACAGGAUCAAAUCACACAGAUCAACAUUACCCUUAAAUGUAAGUGGGUAAAUGCCCCAAUUAAAAGACACAAAUGGCAAGCUGGAUAAAGAGUCAAGAUCCAUUGGUGUGCUGUCUUUAGGAGACCCAUCUCACAUGCAAAGACACACAUAGGCUCAAAAUGGAGGGAUAGCGAAAAUUUACCAAGCAAAUAGAAAACAGAAGAAAAGCAGGGUUUGCAAUCCUAGUUUCUGACAAUCAGACUUUAAAGACAAAGCCCACAUGAUUGUCUCAAUAGAUGCAGAAAAAGCCUUGGAGAAAAUUCAACAUCCCUUCAUGUUAAAAACUCUCAAUAAACUAGGUAUUAAAGAUACAUAACUUAAAAUAAUAAGAGCCAUAUAUGACAAACCCACAGGCAAUAUCAUACUGAAUGGCAAAAGCUGGAAGCAUUUCCCUUGAAAAGCAGCACAAGACAAGGAUGACUUCUCCCACCACUCUUAUUCAACAUAGAAUUGGAAAUUCUGGAUGGGGUAAUCAGGCAAAAGAAAGAAAUAAAGCGUAUUCAGAUAGAAAGAGAGGAAGUCAAAUUAUCUUUGUUUGCAGACAACAUGAUCCUAUAUCUAGAAAAUUUCAAAGUCUCAGCCCUAAAGCUUCUUCAACUGAUAAGCAGCUUUAGCAAAGUCUCAGGUUAGAAAAUCAAUGUGCAAAAAACAAAUCAUGAAUGAACUCCCAUUCACAAUUGUUGCAAAAAGAAUAAAUACCUACAAAUACAGCUAACAACAAAAGUGAAGGACCUCUUCAAUGAGAUCUACAAACCACUGCUUAAAGAAAUCAGAGAAAAUAGAAACAAAUGAGAAACAUUACAUGCUCAUGGAUAGGAAGAAUAAAUAUUGUGAACAUGGCCAUACAGUCCAAAGCAAUUUAUAGAUUCAAUGCUAUUCUCAUUAAGUUGCCAUUGACAUUCUUCACAGAAUUAGAAAGAGUAUUUUAAAAUUCAUGUGGAAUCAAAAAAGAGCCCACAUAGCAAAGAAAAUCCUAAGCAAAAAGAACAAAGCUAGAGGCAUCAUGCUGCCCAACUUCAAACAGUACUACAAGGCUGCAGUAACCAAAACAGCAUGAUACUGGUACAAAAACAGACAUAUAAACCAAUGGAACACUAUAGAGAAUUCAGAAAUAAGGCUGCACACCUAAAACCAUCUGAUCUUUGACAGACCUGGCCAAAACAAGCUAUGGGGAAUGGAUUCCCUAUUUAAUAAAUGAUGUUGGGACAACUGGUUAGUCAUAUGCAGAAAAUUGAAAUUGGACCCCUUCAUAGCAUAGACAAAAAUUAACUCAAGAUGGAUUAAAGACUUAAAUGUAAUACCUAAAACUAGGAAAACCCUAGAAGAAAAUCUGGGCAAUACCAUUCAGGACAUAGGCAUGGGCAAAAAUUUCAUUAUGAAAAUGUAAAAGCAAUUGCAGCGAAAGCAAAAAUAGAUAAAUGAGAUCUAAUGAAACUAAAGAACUUCUGCACAGCAUAAGAAACUAUCAUCAGAGUGAAUGACAUCCUGCAGAGUGGGAGAAAAUUUUUUGCAAUCUAUCCAUCUGACAAAGAUCUAAUAUCCAGAGUCUACAAGGAACUUAAGCAAAUUUAAAGAAAAAAAACUCAUUAAAAAGUGGGCAAAGGACAUGAACAGACACUUCUCAAAAGAAGACAUACAUGUGGCUAAUGAACAUAUAUAAAAAGCUUAACAUCACUGAUCAUUAGAGAAAUGCAAAUCAAAACCACAGUGAGGUACCAUCUCACACCAGUCCGAAUGGUGAGUAUUAAAAAGUCAAGAAACAACAGAUGCAGGUGAGGCUGUGGAGAAAUAGGAACACUUUUACACUGUUGGUGGGAAUAUAAAUUAGUGCAACCGUUGUGUUAGACAGUGUGGCAAUUCCUCCUAGACCUAGAACAGAAAUAUCAUUUGAUGCAGUAAUGCCAUAACUGGGUGUAUACCCAAAGGAACAUAAAGUGUAGUAUUAUAUUAUAUUUAUAUUAUAAAGAUGCAUGCACAUGUAUACUUAUUGCAGCACUAUUCACAAUACAAAAGAUACAGAAUCAACCUAAGUGCCCAAAGUGCGGUAUAAAUACACCAUGGAACAUAAUGCAGCCAUUAAAAGGAAUAAGAUCAUGUCCUUUGCGGGAACAUGGAUGGAGUUGUAGGCCAUUAUCUUCAGCAAACUAAUGCAGGAACAGAAAACCAAACACCGCAUGUUCUCACUUAUAAGUGGGAGCUGAAUGAUGAGAAUGCUUGGACACAGAGAGGAGAACAACACACAGUGGGUCUCGUUGAAGGGGAGGCGUGGGGGAAGGAAGAGCAUCAGGGAGAAUAGCUAAUGGACUCUGGGCUUAAUACCUAGGCGAUGGGAUAAUUUGUGCAGCAAACCAACAUGGCACACAUUUACCUAUGUAACAAAUCUGCACAUCCUGUACAUGUAUCCCUGAACUUAAAAUAAAAUUGAAGAAAAAAGAGAAGCCUUGGAAGUAGAAGAAUCAUAGUCUCCAACUAAGCUUGUUUAAUUAAUGUCACUUUUCAAACCCCAUGCAUGUAUGAAUGUAUGGUAUAAUAUUAAAGAAACCAAGCAGUAAUGAAGGCUAAGAAAUGUCAUUCCUAGCACUUCCUCCAGAAAAUAUGGAGUAGACACACCACAAAGGGUUGGAAAAAAACAAGGAAUGAGAAUUAGGAGGACAAACAAAGUCUUCUAUGGUGAAUGAGUAAAGAAAAACAAAAUUUCAAAAGUCGCUCAAAUCAUAAAGUUCUAAGAAGAAAAGAUGAAAACAUGAGUGUAGCAGAGACUGCUAGUUUUAGCCCAAUAUCCAUUCAUUUUUGCCAGUGAAACUCUGUGAAUUUUAGAUGGACUUGUGACCACCUUUCGGGAUACUGUAUUUUUUGAAUUGCCUCAAAGGACAAUGUGACCAUGUGACUGUAUUUUGGUCAACAGUAGAGGGAUAGAAUAUGUUAUUGCAAAGAGGCUUUUCUUCACCUUCUCGCAGGCUGGAACAUGAACACAGAGAGGUGAUCCAGAUUUGAUCACCUGAAUGAAGACAACAGCAAGGAAAUGGUAGGAUAAUAAAUAAGGAGAAAUCUAGCUUUAUGGACAACUUCAUAAAGCUGACCCUGGAACAUUGACUACCUCUGAACUUACAUGAGGGAGAGAAAUGUUUAUCUUUUAUAAACCUAUUACUUUUUUGAUUUCUACAUUAAAGAAACUUAGUCUAUCCUAAGUAAAGCAAGAAAUAUUCUGUAAAUCACUUUGGAGAAGAAUUUCCAAAAGGAAAGAACAUGAAAUCAACAUAUAGACAAAAUGCAGAAGAAAAUUUCAAUUAUGGAAAAGAGAGUAAAUAUUUUCAAGUUUGGCCUUUUUAAGGACACAUUGUCAAAUGUCAGUGCUCUGGAGAGAAGUUGGUUGUUUCUCAUUCUUUGUUGGUUUUGAAUAAAUCUGCUAUAAAUAUUUGUGUUGAGAUUUCUUGUGCGUGUACACAUAAGCAUUCCAAUCAGCUGUACAAUACUUAGGAGCAUAGUUCCUAGAUAGCAUGCUAAGACUAUGUUUAUAUUUGUAAGAAAAAAAAAAGACCACCAAAUUGUCUUCUAAAAUGUAUCAUUGCGACAAAAGAUUCUUACUCUAUUAAGAAUGUAUAAAGUAUAAUCUCAUUAAAGAUUAGGGAAAAGAUACUGACUUAGGUAACCUGGAAAUGAGUGGAGUCUGUAAAACUAAACGCAAAAGAACUGCACAUAAGCACUAAACUCUAGUAGGAAAUGUUGUUCCCUACAUGGGUACAGGCUAAGGAUUAUGAAACCGCGACACAUAUACACUGAAAUUUAACAGUUAGGUAAAUGGAG